Molecule: non-coding RNA, 74 nt
Organism: Podarcis lilfordi (Lilford's wall lizard)
Lineage: Eukaryota; Metazoa; Chordata; Lepidosauria; Squamata; Lacertidae
Source: the annotation of a GenBank genome assembly
AGCUACUGAUAUAUAUAUAUAUAUAUAUAUAUAUAUAUAUAUAUAUAUAUAUAUGUAUGUAUUCCAGUAGCAUC